AAACUGCCUAAGGAAACCUUGCCACGCAGACAUUCGUUUCCUCUGGCUUACCUCUACUCUCUCUCUCUCUCAUUGUUUCUCACUGUUGCUGGUUAAUCGCUUCAGGAGCUAAGGGGGGAAAUGGCGAUGGGGAUAAGGGUGGAGAUAAACAGGUAUUUGGGAAGGAGCAACAAGUCGGUGGCGGAAACGGGAGAUCUAAGUGCCUUUGGGGUCCUGUACCUGUGGGGCGGGAGCGGUGCUCUCUGUGGCUCUUAGUGUGCCCUAAAAUCCUUGUGUUUUGCUGGGAGUGUGCACAGCGCUGGAGGCCUCCUUCAGAUUAACUCAGGAAAUGAUCAGAUUUAGGAUUUUGAUGAUGAAGAAACAUUUAAAAGGGGUGGGGUAUAAUUGAUGAAAAGGGAACAGGCAUAACCAGGUCUCUCGCAGGCCGGAGCGGCUCUCAGAUUUCUUUUGCUUUGGGUUGUUUCCUUUGUGAAUAAUUAUAAUAUGUAACUUUCCUCUUAAGGGAUUUCUUUUUCUUUUUUUCUUACUUUUUUUUUUUUUUUUUUUUGAGACAUAGUUUCGCUCUUGUUGCACAAGCUGGAGUGCAAUAGCACGAUCUCGGCUCACUGCAACCUCCGCCUCCCGGGUUCAAGCGAUUCUCCCGCCUCAGCCUCCCGAGUAGCUGGGAUUACAGGCGCCGGCCACCACACCCGGCUAAUUUUCUGUAUUUUUAGUAGACACGGGGUUUCACCAUGUUAGCCAGGCUGGUCUCGAACUCCUGACCUUAGGGUAUCCGCCCGCCUCGGGCUUCCAAAGUGUUGGGAUUACAAGCGUGAGCCACUGCGCCCGGCCGGGAUUUCUUAGUCUCCCCUUUAAAUCUGUUUUUCAGAGAAGACAUUGUAAAACGUCGGUGCUGGGGGAUGGGAAAGCAUUUCUUAGGAUCCUGCCUGGAAUCCUAAUACCGUAAUUCGGGUUCUGCCUUGAACACUAACCUGAGAUCCCAUUUCCUCAUUUGAAAUAUGGUUGCAAAGAUUAAAAGAUGCAAGCGUUGUCAAAAUACACAUAGAUAAGGAUGAUUCAAGAGAGACCUAGUUAUACUAUUUUUCAUGGUUCUCUUUCACUAUUUUUGCAGUAAGAACAACAAAACACCUCAUCUUGGCUUACAUUUUAAAAUACUUUGGCUUUAGUGUGUUGAUAUUUUUAAACAAAAUGAAAGAAAGGAGUAAAGUACAAAAUAAAACACGUCAAGAAAAGUUGAAAUGAGUACUUCAGAUUUAGUAAGUGAUAAAAAGUGAAGGAUGUUUGGAAUUUCCCAUGUAAAUCCGAGCUUUUAAAACUUAAAGUGGUUUCUGAAAUUUGGGGAUGCUGCAGAUGCGUCAUUUUAAAUAUGUACUCAUUUUUUAUAAUAUUAAACAAUCAAAAUGCCUGGAGGAGACAGUUACCACCAGUUUCUGAAUAUAGACUGAAUAUAGACUACGUAUAUUCAAGUUAUAGAUUAUCUAGCUCCAAAGUAGUAGAUGGGGAUCAGUGGCAAUCUGGUAGUUAAUUCAGUUUCCUAGUUGCAGGCAACCGCCAUCUAGUUCAUCUAAUAACAGUAAACCACCUUGUGUGCCCCAUGUUGAAUUUUAUACAUAAAUGUUCUUUAGUUCACUCUGGGGGAAUUUCAAAAAUUAUCCGUAAUCUUAAUAAAGAUGUAAAUUAGGAUAUUUUAAAAGGUUUUGCAUUGGCCCUUAAUGAGAACCAAAGCGAAAGUGACACGUGGUAAAAGAUAAUAAAAUCCGUCUGUAUAAAAGUUAUAAUUUCCAGUUUGCUAGGUUCUAAAUCUCCUGUUUGUUGUUUCUGUUGGCUCUCCCUCAUGGUGGCUAGUUUCUUCAAAUGUUGUGUAAUAUUUAAGUGGGAAUUUAUCUUCAAAGUUCUUUGUUCUGCAGAAGUCUUCUCUUCCUUGAGUUAAGAAAGUGUCUCUACAGAUUGGUUUUAUUGGUCCUAAAGUUUCAGUUGUUUUAAUCCAGAUUUAAGGUAAUUUUUUCAGCUUCUACUGUAAAUUUGGUUCUUGGGUCCCACCCCCAUAUAUGAUAUAGGACUCAGGUCUCAGUAUUUUUUAAUUGCCUUUAUAUGUAUACAAAUUAUACACAACUUUAUUUCAACAAUCUUGUCUUCAAAUAUGUGAAGGAAUCCCAAUCCCUAGGAUCUAUAUUUACAUAGAAUCCCCCUUUCUAUAUCUCUUUAGCUUUCUUUUAAGUUCUAUGAUGUAUUUUUUGAUUAUGUAAAUAAAAACAUGUUAUAUGUUUUUAUGUAAACAAAAAACAUAAUAAUAUUACUCACAGAUAGCAAGCCUCCUUACUGCUUUUCCAAAGCAACAGUCUUAAGUUUUUGUGUUUUUGUUUUUUUUUUAAAGACAGGGUCUCACCCUGUCACGUAGGCUGGAGUGCAGUGGCAUGAUCUUAGCUCACUGCAACCUCUGUCUCCAGGACUCAAGCGAUCCUUCCAUGUCUUUGUCUCCAGAGUAGCUGGGGCUAUAGGUGCCCACUACCAUGCAUGGAUAAUUUUUAUAUUUUUUUGUGGAGACGAGGUUUGCCAUGUUGCUCAGGCUGCUCUCCAACUCCUGAGCUCAAGCGGUCUGCCCAACUGGGCCUCCCACUUGCUGGGAUCACAGGCAUGAGCCACUGUGCCUGGAGUUUUUCUAACCCUCUGUGAUCAUAUGGUCUGUCUUUUCUAGACUCAGCUUUAUUUCAGCAAUCUUGUCUUCAAAUUAUGUGUAGGAAUCCCAAUCCCCAGGACCUAUAUCUAGGUAGAGGCCCCCCCUUUCAACAUCUUCUUUGCUUUCUUUUAGGCUCUGUGAUAUAUAUUUUUUGUUUACAUAAAUAAGAACAUGUUAUACAGUAUUUAGCAUCUUUAUGUGUUUAUAGAAGGGGACCACCUAUGACAAUUUAGACAAUAUCUCUGGUUGAUUCUCCAUCAGAGCGCCUAGAAUAUAAAAAUGAAGACUAAUUGUGUCUGUAGCCUGGUCAAAACAGUAAAAUGCUUUCCCAGCACACUUUGAAUAAAAUCCCAGUUCCUGCAUGUUCCUACAUGAUCUCACCCCUGUCUACCUCUCUUAUGUGAUCAUUAGGCUGUCUUUCCCUUUACUCUGCACUCACUAUAAUCCAGCCAAAAUUGGCAUUCGUUGGGGUUUUGGAAUACACCAGACUCUCUUUUCUACUAUCCUCUACUACCUACCCAGAGCUUUCCCAAAUGCUGUCCUUUAAUUAUUAUCUUUCCCUUGUCUGGCUGGUUCUUCCUGCUUCUUUACGCUUUGGCCUUAAAUAUUCACAUAGACGUUCUAUGACCACCCUAUCUAAGUAGCACCCGCCCACUUCUAUGUUUUUUAUAACUUUUUACAGCACUAAUUAAAAGUUCUCAUCUCUUCUGUCUACAGACUGAGCUCCUUGCUUUACCAGCAUUUAUCCUCGAAUGUAAAGUGACCCAUCCAAUUCCCUUUUUUAUACUGCCAGUUGCCUCUCUUCCUUUCCUGUCCCUGCUCCUUUGCCUGACUCUUCAUUUCUACCUACGACUUGGGGAUAUAGGACUGCCUUUCUAACCCUUAUGCCUUCCUUACUCAGGAUCUAGGUUACUACACUUGGCAUGUGGAUACCACCCAAGCAGCCUGUGCAGGGGUUGGAGGCUCAAGCAAAAUAUUUGAUGGGUCUGAAUGAAAAUCUGAUGAAACAGAUGUUACUUGAAGCUGAGUGACUUUCUCAGGGUCAAGCAAAUAAGUAAAUGGAGGAGCCAGAAUUAUACCCCAGGAUCCCCAUCACAAGGAGGGGAGGGCUACCAUCCCAGCUGCAAACUCUCAUUCAAGGUUUAUGCUGCAGCCAGCAGUGUCCUUGGAGUCUAGUUCAAAGCUGAAGAGAGUGAACCAUGGAACUGGGAGCCAUUGGCGGAGAGGCUGGCCUGAAGGAAGGGAAGUGUUUCAGCCAGAAUGUACUGACGCACAACCAGGAAACCACAAGACUGGUGAGAACCUUUCCAAAACUGAGCUUUAUGAUCAAAAGAGGUACAGGAAACAGCUCUGCCAAGAGUCCUUUCUGCUCCUGGCUGGAACCCUGAGCUUCUGAGGCUCUCUGAGUCAACUCUCUGAACAGAUGCUGUCACCCAAGGAACCAUCACUAAAGCAUUUUUUUGCUUUGCUCUGAGGUGGCCUCACUGGUGGGUGCAAGUGAGUUACUGUCUCUUUUUCUCUUUCUUGUUUCUUUCUUUUGACAGAAGUUGCCAUGUGAUUACUCAAUUCUGAAUUUUAGAGGCCAUAGGUUACUGCAUUUAUGCCCUUUGCCAACUGACUAUUGUUUGGUGCUGGGCCUGCAUACAAACACGACAUCCCCAAACUCUUAUCAAUACCUAGAUCACCUGAUGUGAAUCUAUCAAUACCCUGGACUUAACAGGGUAUUGAAGGAAAGAGAACCGGCAAUUCCUUCAUUUCUUACAUCCCAGCCAGUAGUCCUUCUCCCAGGCUAGUCUUCCUUUUGUUUCCCCUAAGAAUGACUCAACUAGGAAUUGCAUUCUGAUCCCUGUCACAGAUAUAAAUCUUGUCUGGAUACAAGGUCAAAAUAAUUGUGUUCCUGUGGAUUCUUUUUCUUUUUUCAACCAGAGUAACUACCAGUUGCCAUGAAAUAAAUCACAUCAUCAUAUGGCAGAUCCAGCUAAUAGCUGAGACUGGCAGGAUAACUGAACCGUGUACUCAGAGCUAAAUGAUGGAGAAAUUGGACUGGCCAUGGAGCACUUCAAAUUGAUUGCUUAGUAAUGGGAUAUUUUUCCUGGAAAGACAACAGAAUACUUCUGAAUUGUUGGUUCUGUCAUGGGUACAGGCUCCCAUGUACAGGAAAAUAAAGAAAGUGUGAUGAAUUUUUCAUCUGGCCUUCUGCCUACUUUCUUGCUUUCUGCAUGUCUCCAUUUUUAGUCUGUAAGCCCUGCCUAGAUGACCAAUCACUAUUGCCCAUGUGGCAUAAAACCUACAAUUUAACUAUACUUCUUACCAAACUCUCAGCAAGUAUGAGGUAGCCAACAGCCUUUUCAAGAUAAUGACUGAGUCUUAGCUUAGGUUUCAGUCAUUUUAGGAAACAUAAAAAAUUCAAUGGUGGGAGAUCAUACACACUCUGCAAAGAUGUCAGAAGUCAAGUUUUGGGAGAGUCCACACACAAACUGAGCAGUGAUGGUAAAAUAUAUUUUUGAAAUAUUUCUCCUCUGUGACUGUUAUGUGAAGUAGAGCAAACACAUUGUGCUGCAGUGCUCUUUGGGACAUGCCUUUUUUGGGAAGUGCUAACUUUAUACUCUGCUGACACCAAACAUUUGAAUAUAAAACCUUAUUUUUUUCUCUCACUCUGCUCCACUUUUGGCUCAGCUUAUUCUACCAAAACACACUUCAAAAGACUUCUUUAUAGAAAGAAUGUUUCAAAAAUAUAAUAUUUCCAUCUGUUAUUUCAAUAAUACAUGCUCUGGGACUCUCUUUAUGAACCACUUUCCUUUCUUUGCUCCCAUUUAGAUGUAUAAAUAUUUGAUUGUAAAGCUCUAAGGAAUAGUCAGCCAAUCGGGUCACUGAAUUGUGAACAUUCCUAACCCUAUAAUUUUGUCUGUAGCAGGCACCUCCUGCUGUGGAACUAACUGCUAAGGGAUUAUAGCAAUGUAAUCCUCAGACUGUUCCAUCUCAAGGUUACUCUGAAGUGGAGGGAAGGAAGCCGUUUUAAUUUUGAUAAAAUAAACUUUAUUUUGUAACUUUAUUAUUUGUUUUUCUUUUUCCUUUCAACACUUCAUAAUAGAUGUGUCUGGUAAUUUGAAGUUAGCCUCUCUGGUUGAGGUGCCCUAAACCACCUCGUAUUAUUGUA
This 5834-nucleotide long non-coding RNA is filed under the name Homo sapiens (human). RNAcentral's name for it is "non-protein coding lnc-KIFAP3-2:14". Lineage: Eukaryota; Metazoa; Chordata; Mammalia; Primates; Hominidae. The record is from RNAcentral.